RNAcentral lists this ribosomal RNA (491 nucleotides) under uncultured bacterium. RNAcentral's name for it is "partial 16S ribosomal RNA". It matches the Rfam family "Bacterial small subunit ribosomal RNA", at positions 29 to 507 of the family's 1533-position model. The record is from RNAcentral.
AGUGAACGCUGGCGGUAGGCCUAACACAUGCAAGUCGAACGGCAGCACAGUAGAGCUUGCUCUUACGGGUGGCGAGUGGCGGACGGGGGAGGAAUACAUCGGAAUCUACUUUUUCGUGGGGGAUAACGGAGGGAAACUUACGCUAAUACCGCAAACGACCUACGGGUGAAAGCAGGGGAUCUUCGGACCCUGUGCGAUUGAAUGAGCCGAUGUCGGAUUAGCUAGUUGGCGGGGUAAAGGCCCACCAAGGCGACGAUCCGUAGCUGGUCUGAGAGGAUGAUCAGCCACACUGGAACUGAGACACGGUCCAGACUCCUACGGGAGGCAGCAGUGGGGAAUAUUGGACAAUGGGCGCAAGCCUGAUCCAGCCAUACCGCGUGGGUGAAGAAGGCCUUCGGGUUGUAAAGCCCUUUUGUUGGGAAAGAAAAGCAGCAGGUUAAUACCCCGCUGUUCUGACGGUACCCAAAGAAUAAGCACCGGCUAACUUCGUG